AGAACGAACGCUGGCGGCAGGCCUAACACAUGCAAGUCGAACGCCGUAGCAAUACGGAGUGGCAGACGGGUGAGUAACACGUGGGAACAUACCCUUCGGUUCGGAAUAACUCAGGGAAACUUGAGCUAAUACCGGAUACGUCCGAGGUUUUAAUCGACCUUGGAGAAAGAUUUAUCGCCGGAGGAUUGGCCCGCGUCUGAUUAGCUUGUUGGUGAGGUAAUGGCUCACCAAGGCGACGAUCAGUAGCUGGUCUGAGAGGAUGAUCAGCCACAUUGGGACUGAGACACGGCCCAAACUCCUACGGGAGGCAGCAGUGGGGAAUAUUGGACAAUGGGCGAAAGCCUGAUCCAGCCAUGCCGCGUGAGUGAUGAAGGCCUUAGGGUUGUAAAGCUCUUUUACCCGGGAGAUAAUGACGGUACCGGGAGAAUAAGCCCGGCUAACUUCGUGCCAGCAGCCGC
This 458-nucleotide ribosomal RNA is filed under the name uncultured bacterium. RNAcentral describes it as "SSU rRNA". It matches the Rfam family "Bacterial small subunit ribosomal RNA", at positions 26 to 518 of the family's 1533-position model. The record is from RNAcentral.